Molecule: ribosomal RNA, 253 nt
Filed under: uncultured bacterium
Lineage: Bacteria
Description: partial 16S ribosomal RNA
Rfam family: Bacterial small subunit ribosomal RNA
Source: RNAcentral
UACGGAGGGUGCAAGCGUUGUUCGGAAUCACUGGGCGUAAAGCGCGUGUAGGCGGCUUCGUAAGUCUGGUGUGAAAGCCCGGGGCUCACCCCCGGAAGUGCACUGGAAACUGCAAGGCUCGAGUACCGGAGAGGAGGGUGGAAUUCCUGGUGUAGCGGUGAAAUGCGUAGAGAUCAGGAGGAACACUAGUGGCGAAGGCGGCCACCUGGCCAAAGACUGACGCUGAGGCACGAAAGCGUGGGGAGCAAACAGG